UUGAAAAAAUAAUGACAAAAUUGAUAGUUUUUCGUAACUUCAAAUGUUAUAACUUUUCCAAUUCUUAUCAAAAUGUAUACAAUUAGGUAUAAAAACAAAGAUAUGAAAAAGACAAGGCACCUACAACACCCAGUAAUAUGUUACGAAUGUAUAUUUGUUAAUGAAAGUUUUGUGUUUUUUAUUGAAAUUCUGGAUUUUUAUUUUCAAUUUUUUAUAUUCUAACAGACGAUCAUUAAAUAUGAUAGAUAAACAAGUAGAAAAGAAUAUAGUAAUACAUAAUACUCUCUUCAUAUGUAAUGCUCUCCUUAAGCGUAAAUCAAAUUGUUUAAACUGGAUAUGAUGAUUAAAUGUUGUAUCGGCAUGGUUUUAUCUGACUACUUUGCUUUUUCAAUUUGGUUGCCAGCUUCAACCUAAUUCUUGAUUUAGAACUAUGAUUUUGAACUAAAACAUUUCCGUGUUGAAUAAAAUACUAUUUAUUCUUAACUGUAUUUUUUUUGAGGCUUCAGUUAUCAAACGUUGGUGGUAAUUUUAGUUAUGCCACUGUAAAAGCGUCGAUUGUUAAGUAGACAUAAAAAGUUUGAAGUAUGCACAAAGCCUGAAAGUGUCAAAUAUGGAACCUAAAAAACCUGCCUUUGCCACUGACUGUAUAAAGUGUUUUUAAGGUCUGUUUGUCAAGCAUCAAGUCAGGUUAUCUUGCUACUGGUACCAUGUAGUACAUCCUGCUUAAGCAGGUUGUACGCCAUCCAUACGACGUUUGGGCAUCUGUUUGUAAAAUAUUGCUGCAAAUCUUUUUGAGAGAGCCAUUACUAUGGAGAACCAUCUAAACCAUACAAGUGUGGAAACAUGGAUGUAAAUCUAUAUUAAUGUGAAAUAAACUGAUGAGUUUAUUUAACUUAGCUGGUAAAAAAAAGAGUUUUCGUGAAACAAAUUUAAUGAAGACAGUUAUAGAAUGAAGUUCAUUCAUUUGCUAGCAACAUUUUUAAACGUGGUCCAGAUCAAAAAAAUUUGGUGCUAGAAAUUGUCGAUAGUGGUAGUGAUAGAUGCAUCGAACCUAAUUUGUAAUUAAUUUCUGUAAAUAAAUUUCACUUUACUAA
This is a long non-coding RNA of Hydra vulgaris (swiftwater hydra), 1094 nucleotides long. RefSeq lists it as uncharacterized. NCBI's taxonomy places the organism in Eukaryota, Metazoa, Cnidaria, Hydrozoa, Anthoathecata, Hydridae. The record is from RefSeq and is a predicted model, not a curated record.